Molecule: ribosomal RNA, 497 nt
Filed under: uncultured bacterium
Lineage: Bacteria
Description: partial 16S ribosomal RNA
Rfam family: Bacterial small subunit ribosomal RNA
Source: RNAcentral
GAUGAACGCUGGCGGCGUGCCUAAUACAUGCAAGUCGAGCGAACAGAUGAGGAGCUUGCUCCUCUGACGUUAGCGGCGGACGGGUGAGUAACACGUGGAUAACCUACCUAUAAGACUGGGAUAACUUCGGGAAACCGGAGCUAAUACCGGAUAAUAUAUUGAACCGCAGGGUUCAAUAGUGAAAGACGGUUUUGCUGUCACUUAUAGAUGGAUCCGCGCCGCAUUAGCUAGUUGGUAAGGUAACGGCUUACCAAGGCAACGAUGCGUAGCCGACCUGAGAGGGUGAUCGGCCACACUGGAACUGAGACACGGUCCAGACUCCUACGGGAGGCAGCAGUAGGGAAUCUUCCGCAAUGGGCGCAAGCCUGACGGAGCCACGCCGCGUGAGUGAUGAAGGUCUUCGGAUCGUAAAACUCUGUUAUUAGGGAAGAACAAAUGUGUAAGUAACUAUGCACGUCUUGACGGUACCUAAUCAGAAAGCCACGGCUAACUACGUG